RNAcentral lists this ribosomal RNA (463 nucleotides) under uncultured bacterium. RNAcentral describes it as "partial 16S ribosomal RNA". It matches the Rfam family "Bacterial small subunit ribosomal RNA", at positions 28 to 507 of the family's 1533-position model. The record is from RNAcentral.
GACGAACGCUGGCGGCGUGCUUAACACAUGCAAGUCGAACGGAAAGGCCUUUUCGGAGGUACUCGAGUGGCGAACGGGUGAGUAACACGCGGGUGAUCUGCCCUGCACUCUGGGAUAAGCAUGGGCAACUGGGUCUAACACCGGCUAGGACCGCACUUUAGUGUGUGUGGUGGAAAGUUUUUUCGGUGUAGGAUGAGCCCGCGGCCUCUCAGCUUGGUGGUGGGGUAAUGGCCUACCAAGGCGGCGACGGGUAGCCGGACUGGGAGGUUGGACGGGCACAUUGGGACUGGGGUACGGCCCAAGCUCCUUCGGGGGGCAGCAGUGGGGAAUUUUUCACAAUGGGCGGAAGCCUGGUGGAGGGACGCCGCGGGGGGGAUGACGGGCUUCGGGUUGGUAACUCCUUUCGCCAUGGACGGAGCGGUUUGUGACGGUACCGGGAGAAGAAGCACCGGCUAACUACGUG